Felis catus (domestic cat) is the source of this 3721-nucleotide RNA transcript. It is a transcript of the gene named transport and Golgi organization protein 1 homolog, with no coding region annotated. The transcript has 11 exons. The record is from RefSeq and is a predicted model, not a curated record. NCBI's taxonomy places the organism in Eukaryota, Metazoa, Chordata, Mammalia, Carnivora, Felidae.
AUUUAAGCUUUAGUUUUCUUGCAAUAUUUUCUCAGUACUGGUGUUUCAUGUGGGUUUUUUUUUUUUUAAUGUUUGAGUGAGAGACAAAGAGUGCAAGUGGGGGAGGGACAGAGAGGGAGAGACACACACAGAGUCCAAAGUGGGCACCAGGUCUUACCUGUCACCACAGAGCCCCAUGGGAGGGUAGAACCCAUGAAGAGUGAGAUCAUGCAUGACCUGAGCCAAAGUCAGACACUCAACCGAGCCACCUAGGCGCCCCUUGAUGUGCGUUUUGAUUCACCUAAGGAUAAAUAUGGGGACUUCUGAUGUCUAAUUGACUUUUUAACUCUUGAAAUUCAUCUUUCUCUUCCCUGUUUGGAGCCUAAGUGACAAUGUGGAGGGAGUUGCCAUCUCUUAAGACAUCAGGAGGAGGAACACAUCACCAGAGUAGAGGGAAUGAAAUUAGUGUAAUUUUACAUAGAAAUGAUUAGGAAACAAGUGAUGAUAUGAGCCUGAGGUUUGGAGUGAGUACUUUGCCAUGACCUGGCUCUUCGUGAAAUGUGAAGAUGAGAAAACUCUCUAUCUACAAGCCCAUCAAGAAGCCUGAGCUUAGAGACAAAGCCAGAUAUUGCCAGACAGGGUGUGUGUCACAAGAGAGGUUUAAACCAUGGUUCUGAGUCUGAGGUGGAGGAAGCCGUUCAUGCCAGGGGAGAAUGAGUGGAGAUGAGAUUUUUGCAAAUGCGGGUAAUGUAUUCUGCACAGGCUCCAUAGACUGUGGUGAUCCUGUGGCGCUGUCUGUUGAGAGCCAGGGUGGCUCCCUACACUUAACGAGCCCUCAAACGCUGGUUGUUCAUCCCUUUGAAUGCAGUGGCGGUGGUGGGGAGAAGAGUGAUCUCAGGACAUGAGAGCUCUCACACUGGGCCAACAAAAGAGAAGUUUGCACUUUCUGGUCAGAUGACAGAAUCAGUCCCUGUUGGAGGAGUCUGUUCUAGAGCUUACAUGUGUUCCCUGUAAUUGGGUGCUUCGUGUGUGUUGAAUAAUAUUCCUUUAAGGUUGGAGGGUAACAUUCUCACGUUGGGAUGAAAAAAGUUUGUCUUCUAGGAAUUGCCAUUAAUCCAGACCCUCCAGCCACUAAGUGUAAAGCUGAGAUGGUACCCGUAUGUUUGAUUCCAAAGACCUUGUCCUCCAGGGCCCCCGCCCUAGGGUUCAUGAAAGGCAACCUGUGAGCAGCAGGAAGUCAUCCAAGGCCUUCGAGUAGUCAGUCAGUCAGCAGCAGUUUGAGCUUUCCUUGUGUGGAAUUCCAAAUAGCACCUGGGAGUGUGAGUGGCUCAAAUCGAGACUAAAUGAUGGUUUUGUUUGCUCCAUUAUUUGCAGGGACCUAUUUAUGUACCUUAAUAAUUGGAGGAGAGAAAUGUAAGUUGAUAGGAUUUGAUUUUUGUUUCAUCUCUGGUGGUGACAUAAGUAUUUGAAGUGAUUGGAUUUUCUAAGAAGGGUGCUUCCAGAUGGGAGAGAAAUGAGAAGAUAUUUUAUUGUGUUUCUCCAUUUUGGACAAUAUUUUAAAUAGGAAUCUCAUUGAAAUAAGGUUUUCUUAGGUUUAACAUGCUGCUAAAACUUGAUUUCUUCAGGCACAAUGGGAAAGCUAAAAUGUUAGUUACACCCACCUGUCAGAUCAUGUGUGCUGCUAAUACACUGGGAUUAUUUGAGGUCACUGGUUUGGUAACAGCCUUAGAACAUGUUUUGUCUCCUUUUAGUUAGUUUACAGUGAAUAAUUGAGAAUAUCAAUACUUUUAAGAAAGAAAACAGAGAACUUCAUUGCUGAAAAAAUAUCCAUUUGGGAACAGAAGAAAAUAAAAAGGCCCUGGAAGACAAGUGUAAUGCAUUGAGGUCUGUGAAAGCAACCAAAGAAGCAAAAGUCAAACAGCUGAAGGACAAAGCAGGCAUCCUUGAAGAAUUCUGUGAAGAAAGAAAAGUGGCUAUAGAAGACUAAAAUGUUCAGGAAGCUGAAAAUGACACAGUGUGAACUGGCGGCAAAGAAGAAUCAGCUGGCAGCUGCAGGGAAAAUGUGAAAAUAGCCAUGAAAGAAAUAAACAAGUACAAAUCGCAGUUCAUGAGAAUAAUGCUCAGGACAACUGGAUCAAGCCUCAGAUCUGGGAGAGGGAAAUGGCAGAGCAGAGCCGAAAGGUCGCCCACUUGAAACACAGACUGGAUGUGAUGGAAGGAAAGAGGCUGCUUGAGGGAUACAGGAGGCGGAGAACAAUGCCUGGAAGUCCAGAGACACAGAACCCUCCGAGGAGAGUAAGCAGCAUGUGGUGAUGUGCAGCAGCCUAAUUUCUGCGGCAAAGCGUUUUCCUGUGGGUGAUCAUCGUGUGUCCUGGACAGAACCACAAUUACUACCUAAGGAUAGCAGGGUCCUUAGCAGAUCCAGAAACUGGUGCAACCUCUGUGAGUUACAGCAGCUCUGACUGUACGAAGAAUGCAGACAAGGACAAGGACUUAAUUACUCUGUGUCCUGUAGUAUGCUUCAAGUCAGAAUUCCCUAUGAAUUAAGAUGAACACAUCUGAGCUUUGGAGACAUUCACCACAAGUCACUUGUUCCUCACAGAAGACUUCCUCCAGGCAUCCUUCACUCCCCAGAGGUCUCAGAGGCCUUUGACAACACUUCAAGAGGGAAGACUCCUUUCUCAGGGAGAGGAGCAGAGGAGGCAAAGUGAGGGUCCGGCUGCAGACCUUUUCGCCAGGAGUGGCUGUGAUUCCACGAGCAGAAUAGGAGCCAUUUAUUCCCACUCAAUUUGUUGUGUUCCUAAUAUACCAAAAUCAGAGCAUCAGGAGUCACUGCAGAGGAGGCAUGCAGGGUGAACUGGGACAUAGAUGCCUGCCUGUCUGGAGAAUGCUGCUUCAUCACUAUGUAAUUACUUCUGUUAACCCUCUAGGACAGGACCCUUGCCAUUUUACUUCCGCAGACACGGGCAGUGAUGUGUGGUGACAGCAGUUCCUCCUCUUGCAUCUACCACCCCCAGCUGUAGGUGGUAUCCAGUGGCAGGGACAGAGUUUUCAGGUACUGAUGCUACGCUCUUGGAUCCUGGUGGCAGAGAAGGUGGCAGGUGCUGGCACGUUCUUCUCUGGGUUACAGCUGCUUUUGGUAUUGGUUCUCUUGUCUGCAUAGGCACGUAGCUGUCACUUCUGUUCUGCAGGACAGUGUGGAUCCAUGGGGACCUCCUCGGUUAACUGGACGAUUCUGCAUGCCCUACCCUAGAGGCUCCCCACCCCCAUGGACCAUUAGGCACGUCCACCUCCUGAACCUUGGCGGCCCUGAACCCCUCCACCCGCAACACUUGGUGUCUCUCGUGGAGAAGGAUUGGGGCUGUCUGCAGAAAAGCAGGCAUAGCGCUUCAGCAGACAUGCCCUGUACACAUGCCACGUGCUGGGCCCUGUGAGGCAUGAGGCACAGCCUAACGUGUGUCCAUCCAGUUGCACCCCCAGCCAUCCCUCGUUGUUCGGGCUUUUGGCAGAUCCAGAAGCAGGCGACACUCCCAAGAGUGACAUCAACCCUGGCUCUGCCAAAACUGCCAAGAAGCACAAGGACAACUAUUUUGAAAUUUCAAGAGGACUGUGCGCGGUGACAGACAGUGAUUAUGUAUCUAUUUGAAGAAGGUGUCAGACCUGCCUGAAUGCUUUCCCUGCCCAUCCUGUCCCCUCCACUUUGUCCUUCCUACUGUCCCCUAAUACACCUUUCACCAUUCUG